CAGACUGAAUGUGGUCCGUCGCUCCAAUCCCUCACGUAAUCGGGCCGUCUCCGGCUAUAAAUAAACCCCCCCCCGACCGAGCGAAAGCUUCUAACCAGGAACGCAUACCACUCCAUAAUUUGUUGAGCCGUUGUGCUUGUUGCUUCUCGCCAUGUCGACCUGCGGCAACUGCGACUGCGCUGACAAGAGCCAGUGCGUGAAGAAGGGAAACAGCUACGCUAUCGAGACUGUUGAGACCGAGAAGAGGUA
Long non-coding RNA from Musa acuminata AAA Group (dessert banana), 249 nucleotides. RefSeq lists it as uncharacterized. The transcript has 2 exons. The record is from RefSeq and is a predicted model, not a curated record. Lineage: Eukaryota; Viridiplantae; Streptophyta; Magnoliopsida; Zingiberales; Musaceae.